This is a long non-coding RNA of Raphanus sativus (radish), 1415 nucleotides long. RefSeq lists it as uncharacterized. The transcript is spliced from 5 exons. The record is from RefSeq and is a predicted model, not a curated record. NCBI's taxonomy places the organism in Eukaryota, Viridiplantae, Streptophyta, Magnoliopsida, Brassicales, Brassicaceae.
UGUCUUCUUCAGUCAAUUUGCUGUGUUUCAUUAAGCCAUCAGCAAAAUGUUGUGACACGUGUCUUCUUCUUGAAGCGCCAUGUUUUGAUUAGGGUUAGCCAUGUUCUUCUUCGUCGCCUCUCCAGAACUCAUGUCCAUUAGGUGUUCGCUCUGUAAUAGCUUUUUCAUCUUCUUCCUCAGAAACAAAAACGAUACAAGUUACGAAAUAAUCCUCUUUAAAACCUUUAUUAAUCUCUCCCAUACUUUGACCAAAAAAAAAAAAUCUCUCCCAUACAAUCUAUAUUCAAUGCAAUUUUUUAUUAUGCAAGGCGGUGGAGGUUCAUCUAUAAAAUGUAUUUUUCUCCGAUUUGUGGAUGGGCUCCUCCUCCUCCACUGUUGAAGUCCGGUUGCUCUGUUUCUGGGAGGCCAAAAAUGUCCGCCGUGGUGAAGAGCUCAUAGGAGUGGAUAUGUUGGUACCGAGAAUCAGGACUGGUAAUUCACAUGGAUUUGCAAUUGUUCGAUUUAAAUAUAAAAAACAAAGCUCACGAAGCAGUAGAAAGGCUUGAAGAAUGCAGCAGUAGAGUUUGUGUGGGUGGUGAAGGCGAAAGAAAAAGUUGUAGCAGAUCAUCUCAAGCUGGAGAUUAUUGGGGUUGGUAAGAAGAAGCUUCAUGAAGCAAAAGUGUGGGUGAAACCAUGGUUGAACUUCAAGGAGUUGCAGGAGUUCAAGCUUACUGGUGAUGAUGAUGUUCUUCCCAUUACUCCCUUCCAUCUUGACUGCACAUAAGGGCUGUGUUUGAUAUCUAUGGAAUGGCCCGAGAAAGAAAAAUCAUGGAGCAUCAAGGAUCAGAUUUGAUGUGGGGAGAAAAUGAGCUUAUGGCUCAAGAAAUAUGUUCUUUUUCUCACCAACUCAUUAACACAAAUCUUUAGCAUCUGUUUCAUGUCUGAUCUUGGAGUCAUUGGUGAGAUUCAACAUGUUGGAAAGAGGUCUACUUGGAUAGAUUCAUCAUCACUCGAAUGAUUGUUAUCAGCAAUGGUGAACAGCAUCAACACGAUGACUGAAGCUCUAUGCUUUUCUCAGAUUUUCAUACUCUGUGCUUUGGUAGUCUCAGAGUCUAAGAACAAAAAGAUGACGACAGAGACAACAACAAAACCAAGUCUUUGAAGAGAAACAGAGACAACAACAAAGCCAAGUCUUUGAAGAGAAACAGAUACGGGACAGGAAGUCACUUCUGUAUUUUUCACCAUCUUAUGGAGGGUUAAACCAGAAACUAGCAAAACAGGGACCAAGCGGAAAAUCCGAUGAAGUCAUAGCAGAACAUUUGUCUUUAAGAGCUGAAACAAUGAAUCUUGAAAGUUAAAACAAUUCCAUUUCCCGCAUUUGUCAAAAGAACCAUAACUUUUUUUUUGUGCAAGAAAAAGAACAAGUUAUUAAUCAA